UUGACCUCGAUCAGGCAGGGAUACCCGCUGAACUUAAGCAUAUCAAUA
Molecule: ribosomal RNA, 48 nt
Filed under: uncultured fungus
Lineage: Eukaryota; Fungi
Description: partial 28S ribosomal RNA
Source: RNAcentral